GAUGAAGAACGUAGUGAAAUGCGAUAAGUAAUGUGAAUUGCAGAAUUCAGUGAAUCAUCGAAUCUUUGAACGCACAUUGCGCCCGCCAGCAUUCUGGCGGGCAUGCCUGUUCGAGCGUCAUUUCAACCCUCGACUUCCCUUUGGGGAAAUCGGCGUUGGGGACUGGCAGCAUACCGCCGGCCCCGAAAUGGAGUGGCGGCCCGUCCGCGGCGACCUCUGCGUAGUAAUCCAACCUCGCACCGGAACCCCGACGUGGCCACGCCGUAAAACACCCCACUUUCUGAACGUUGACCUCGGAUCAGGUAGGAAUACCCGCUGAACUUAAGCAUAUCAAAAGCGGAGGA
Molecule: unclassified non-coding RNA, 344 nt
Filed under: soil metagenome
Description: partial contains 5.8S ribosomal RNA, internal transcribed spacer 2, and large subunit ribosomal RNA
Rfam family: 5.8S ribosomal RNA (bases 1-120)
Source: RNAcentral